AUUUUAUUUGACCAUUAAAAGACAUACACCAGUGCUGUCACAUUGUAUUAACUAUCAAGAAUAAUUAAGUACAAGACUUAACAAUUGGCGACAAGGAUGGGAUAACUCAGCACCAGAAGGACAGGAACCAACCCUGAUGAUGCUUCCAUCCUUCCAGAUGUAACUAUCUAGCUUCUAUAAAAACACCAGAAGGACAGGAACAGACUCGAACCAUGCUUCCAUCUUUCCAGAAGUUUACCAGUUUCCGGUUGCAUCCUUCUACAAAGGACAGGAACCAACCCUGAUGAUGCUUCCAUCCUUUGAGACAUUAUUAUCCAGCUUCUAUGAAAAGAAAGUGAACAUGGUUUUGUUGCUGCUUAUUUUUCUUCUUCCUUCAUGUUUUCUUACUUUGGAUUUUUUGUUUCAGCAGCACCAGAAGGACCGGAACAGACUCGAACAAUGCUUCCCAUCCUUCCAGAAGUUUAUUUUUACUUACUUUGGGUUAAAAUUUUAUUGACUCAGGAACCAAUUACCAGUUUUCCAUAGAGCUAUAUACUCAACAUAUGAUGGUCUCGGGGCUCCGGAACCAAUUACCAGUUUUCAAUAGACAAAUGUACUCAACGUAUGAUGUUUUCAACAUACAAUGGUCCUCCCAGAAUCAAUUACCAUCAUAUGUUGAGGGACCACUCUACCAGGUUUCCAUAGAGUUACGGUUUAAACAUACAAUGGUUGUCCUGGAACCAAUUAAUAUUGCCUCAUUGCCCAAUUUGUCUAAUUGCCCAAUUGCAUUGCACAAUUAACUUUUCUUUGUUUUCAGUUUGACCCCACAAAUAAUAAUAUUCUGGUUUCGCAAUACAUCAUAUGGUAAAAUGAAAGGAGAAAAAACAUUUUUUACAAAAUUUGCCCUCUUGCGGUUCUGCUAAAGGAAAAAAUGUUUAUGGGUCUUAGCAGGAGCGUAGCUAGAAACCACAGAGCCCUGAUGCAAAAAGUUGCCCUAGGCCCCCCAACUAACCCUAAAGCUCCUGCGCUCACUUCAUACCCGAGCCCGAUGUAUGGCGCUGUGCACAAAGUUACAUGCUGCAGUGCCGUAUAUUUACAGCAUGCCGUGUUCUUAAGUUAUAAACUGCCGUACCGGCUGCGGCGGACUAGACAGGAUAGUGAUUUGGACAAAGCGGCUUGUCAGUUGUCUUCUCAAGUGCAGGGCAGAGUAUAUUAGACUAUGUAGCCCAUGUCUUUUGGGUGGGGGUCCCAGCAGUCGGACCCCCUCCAAAAUAAAAUGGACUGCAUAGUCUGAAAAUCACCUUGGUUCAAGUGGCUCUCCAGCGGUUGCAAAGUUACAACUCCCAUCAUGCCUGGAGAGCUUCAGACAUUAUGGGAGUUGUCAUUUUGUAACAGCUAGAGAGCCGCAGAUUGGGGUACAGUUUCACUAAUAACCCUGCUAAUCUUACAAGUGAUUAA
Long non-coding RNA from Hyla sarda, 1437 nucleotides. RefSeq lists it as uncharacterized. Lineage: Eukaryota; Metazoa; Chordata; Amphibia; Anura; Hylidae. The record is from RefSeq and is a predicted model, not a curated record. The transcript is spliced from 3 exons.